Molecule: long non-coding RNA, 1317 nt
Filed under: Salmo trutta (river trout)
Lineage: Eukaryota; Metazoa; Chordata; Actinopteri; Salmoniformes; Salmonidae
Description: lncRNA (ENSSTUG00000011977.1)
Source: RNAcentral
UAGUGAUACAUCUGAUGGGGAGGGUGAGUAAUGGCUAUGCCUUAUGGGCGUCCAUAUAUGGCUCCAUAUACCGUAUCUGGGGUAUGUGGCUCCACAGGCGCCGACGCAGCCUGUCGACUACAGCAGGAGGUUUAACCCCCACAUCUCCUCUGCGACCUAUGACGUCCAGUUCUGCCACCACUACCAGCAGCAGGCCUGUGUUGGGUCAGAGAACGCUUGUUCUGAGGUUCAAACUUAUCCCAGCCACACAGUCCACAAGCUGAUCGACAGCCUGGACAGGCUCAGAACCAGUGAGAACCUACCUGGAGACAGGGAGUCCCUAACCUCAGACGACCGUGUCUUCCCCUGGGACGACCGUGUCUUCCCCUGGGACGACUGUGGCCAAAGAACCCAGUAGGAGCUGGAGCCGAGGCCUCUGCCACAGAGACAGCCCCAACAGGGUAGGAUGAGGCCGAGGGACUCUCCUCUGCCCAGCAGCGUAUUCAAUGACUCCACACGGUGGUGGGCUAUAAUGCAGAGUCCAGCCAGAGCCGCCUGGAGGAGCUGGCUAAGCAAUACCACUCUGAGAAGCACCACCUGAAUACUGAAGAACCUUGGAUAGAGGGACAGGCCAGAGAACAGAGGAUCCUCCAGAGGAUGUAAAACAUGACUGUGGGGCCUUGACUAGGAGCAUUGAACUGAAUUGGGCUUCACAUGACCACCAUUCACUUGACUGUCUGGCUCCAUGACAAGGUUCUGAUUCCAUCCCACUCUGCUGAGCUGAAGGACCCUGUUUAUAAUCUGCUGUGAGGACCACAAUGAAGUCAUGUGUCAUGAAGAGCAGGAGCAGUUUGGGGAAACUCUGACCUAAUAUAUAAAUUCACUUGCACUAUGAAAUGCACACAAAGCACAUUGUAAUAAAUGAAGACACUCGUAAUGUUUGAAUAAGUGUUACAAAAAUAAUAUCUAAGGCAGCAGUUCAACAACUUUCUGUUCAGUAGAUGCCUGCAUUUCCAGUGUUUGAUGGUAGCCUUGAUGGACGCUGUGCAUUGAUCCUAAUCACAGCCUGGGCUGCAGCCUAACCGGACUGUACUGUGACACUAACCCCAUGUUGACCAGCAGAGCAGACUGGACCUGGGAGGGUUAGGCCCAGUCUACUCUACAGCAUUUCAACUCCUCUUACAGUGUCAGUGCAUUGUUCACCGAGGGUGAAGCCCAGGCUUUAAAGCAGUGGAAACGCAAUUUCCUGGUGAGAGGAGAUGUUUGGCUUCAAGUGCCAGUCGAAGUUUACAUGUCUCGUUUUGUUAUUAUGCAGAUAUUUUGAACAGUGUUGUCAAU